UACGGAGGAUCCGAGCGUUAUCCGGAUUUAUUGGGUUUAAAGGGAGCGUAGGUGGAUUGUUAAGUCAGUCGUGAAAGUUUGCGGCUCAACCGUAAAAUUGCAGUUGAAACUGGCAGUCUUGAGUACAGUAGAGGUGGGCGGAGUUCGUGGUGUAGCGGUGAAAUGCUUAGAUAUCACGAAGAACUCCGAUUGCGAAGGCAGCUCACUGGACUGCAACUGACACUGAGGCUCGAAAGUGUGGGUAUCAAACAGG
This 253-nucleotide ribosomal RNA is filed under the name uncultured bacterium. RNAcentral's name for it is "partial 16S ribosomal RNA". It matches the Rfam family "Bacterial small subunit ribosomal RNA", at positions 524 to 776 of the family's 1533-position model. The record is from RNAcentral.